UAUCUUUGAGAAUCCUUCUAUAGUCCCAAGCUCAUUUGAGGUAGAAGCUAUUCUUAACAGGACCACUGUGAAUGGUACCAUACCUCUAGACAUCAUACUUGAUACUAUCAAAGCAGGGGAAAUCGUUACUUCUACACCAGUGCCUGUCACAAAUGUAACUGUUGAAUCUACCACCAUGAAAUACACAUCGAGUACAAAUGAGUACACAAACACCACAUCUAGUGGCUUUCCAUGGAUGGUACGCUGUUCACUAAUGACUAUAUAUCCAGCCAUUAU
Long non-coding RNA from Sinocyclocheilus anshuiensis, 276 nucleotides. RefSeq lists it as uncharacterized. The record is from RefSeq and is a predicted model, not a curated record. Lineage: Eukaryota; Metazoa; Chordata; Actinopteri; Cypriniformes; Cyprinidae. The transcript is spliced from 3 exons.